ACUCCUACGGGAGGCAGCAGUGGGGAAUAUUGCACAAUGGGGGAAACCCUGAUGCAGCGACGCCGCGUGAGCGAAGAAGGCUUUCGGGUCGUAAAGCUCUGUCCUUAGGGAAGAAAAUGACGGUACCUAAGGAGGAAGCCCCGGCUAACUACGUGCCAGCAGCCGCGGUAAU
Molecule: ribosomal RNA, 172 nt
Filed under: uncultured bacterium
Lineage: Bacteria
Description: partial 16S ribosomal RNA
Rfam family: Bacterial small subunit ribosomal RNA
Source: RNAcentral